UACCCGCUGAGUUUAACAUAUCAAUAAGCGAGGAA
This 35-nucleotide ribosomal RNA is filed under the name Sequoia sempervirens (coast redwood). RNAcentral's name for it is "partial 26S ribosomal RNA". Lineage: Eukaryota; Viridiplantae; Streptophyta; Pinopsida; Cupressales; Cupressaceae. The record is from RNAcentral.